CCUACGGGUGGCAGCAGUAGGGAAUUUUGCGCAAUGGGCGAAAGCCUGACGCAGCAACGCCGCGUGAUCGAGACGCCCUUCGGGGUGUCAAGAUCUGUCAGUGGGGACGAAACUUGACGGUACCCACAGAGGAAGCACAGGCUAACUCCGUGCCAGCAGCCGCGGUAAUCCGGGGGGUGCAGGCGUGUUCCGGCAUCAUUGGGCGUAAAAGGUUCGUAGGCGGCACGUAAAGUCUGGUGGUAAAGGCAGAGGCUCAACUUCUGUACGGCACUGGAUACUUGCGAGCUAGAAGGCGGUAGAGGUAAAGGGAAUGCCUGGGGUAGCGGUGAAAUGCUUAGAUAUCAGGAGGAACAUCGGUGGCGUAAGCGCUUUACUGGGCCGUAAUUGACGCUGAGGAACGAAAGCCAGGGUAGCAAAUGGGAUUAGAUACCCGUGUAGUC
RNAcentral lists this ribosomal RNA (440 nucleotides) under uncultured bacterium. Its description in RNAcentral is "partial 16S ribosomal RNA". It matches the Rfam family "Bacterial small subunit ribosomal RNA", at positions 338 to 795 of the family's 1533-position model. The record is from RNAcentral.